Molecule: transfer RNA, 55 nt
Filed under: Camelus bactrianus (Bactrian camel)
Lineage: Eukaryota; Metazoa; Chordata; Mammalia; Artiodactyla; Camelidae
Also listed under: 3 other names
Rfam family: tRNA
About the family: Transfer RNA (tRNA) molecules are approximately 80 nucleotides in length. Their secondary structure includes four short double-helical elements and three loops (D, anti-codon, and T loops).
Source: Rfam by way of RNAcentral
GCUCAGUGGUAGAGCAUGUGCUUAGCAUGCAUGAGGUUCUGGGUUCAAUCCCCAG